UACGUAGGUGGCAAGCGUUGUCCGGAUUUACUGGGCGUAAAGAGCGCGCAGGCGGUCGUCCAAGUCGCGUGUGAAAGCCCCCGGCUCAACUGGGGAGGGUCACGCGAUACUGGUCGACUCGAAGGCAGGAGAGGGUAGUGGAAUUCCUGGUGUAGCGGUGAAAUGCGCAGAUAUCAGGAAGAACACCCGUGGCUAAGGCGGUUCUCUAGUACGGUACUGACGCUGAGACGCGAAAGCGUGGGGAGCGAACAGG
RNAcentral lists this ribosomal RNA (253 nucleotides) under uncultured bacterium. RNAcentral's name for it is "partial 16S ribosomal RNA". It matches the Rfam family "Bacterial small subunit ribosomal RNA", at positions 524 to 776 of the family's 1533-position model. The record is from RNAcentral.